GACGUAGGGCGCGAGCGUUGUCCGGAUUUAUUGGGCGUAAAGAGCUCGUAGGCGGUUUGUCGCGUCUGCUGUGAAAACUCGGGGCUUAACCCCGGGCCUGCAGUGGGUACGGGCAGACUAGAGUGCGGUAGGGGAGACUGGAAUUCCUGGUGUAGCGGUGAAAUGCGCAGAUAUCAGGAGGAACACCCGUGGCGAAAGCGGCUCUCUGGGACGGUACUGACGCUGAGACGCGAAAGCGUGGGGAGCAAACAGG
This 253-nucleotide ribosomal RNA is filed under the name uncultured bacterium. Its description in RNAcentral is "partial 16S ribosomal RNA". It matches the Rfam family "Bacterial small subunit ribosomal RNA", at positions 524 to 776 of the family's 1533-position model. The record is from RNAcentral.